UAUUGUAUUAUAUUGCAUGCACACCCCUGAUCUCGUCUGAUCUUGGAAGCUAAGCAUGGUCGGGCCUGGUAAGGACAUGGAUGGGAGACCGCCCGGGAAUACCAAGUGGAUUUAGUGU
Molecule: ribosomal RNA, 118 nt
Filed under: Gadus morhua (Atlantic cod)
Lineage: Eukaryota; Metazoa; Chordata; Actinopteri; Gadiformes; Gadidae
Source: RNAcentral